Molecule: long non-coding RNA, 937 nt
Organism: Populus nigra (black poplar)
Lineage: Eukaryota; Viridiplantae; Streptophyta; Magnoliopsida; Malpighiales; Salicaceae
Exons: 2
Source: RefSeq, a predicted model, not a curated record
GGGGCAGCACACAAGUUGGGGUGGAGAAGAGAGCAAUAAAAGAGGAAAAUCAAACCGAUAUCCAACCAGAUAAAAUCAGUAUACAUAUGCCGUCUUGAAAGCAUAGUUUUAAAAUCUGGUUUGAUUUGGUGGAUCGAUCUAGGAUUCAGCUACUCUGAAGUUGAAAUCGGGUGAGGUUGAUGAAAAAACCAGUCAGAAAUUUAGCUCGAUAAAACUCAAUUGACCUGGUGGGUCAACCCGAUUGAGAUGCUGAGUUUAUAUAUGUAUAAGUAAUCCCAUCCACAAUACAAAAAGAUCAGAGGAAUUUAAGUUCAAGGCAAGCUUUUUACUUGUUUGGCUCUCUUCAUUUCAGAUCUGCAAAUCAAGGAAAGAAACAGAAACCAAGGAGCAACAAAAGCCAAGUUUGUACGAGGGAGGGCCGAAGGGGUAUGGGUUGUGUCUACAACUUGCAUGCCUUUAUUGGUCUGUAGCAGCAUCAAAUGCCAGCCUUCUGGUUUUCCAUGGGUCAAGCCAGUUGUUCUCAAUCGCUCUUUCCAAUUUCCAUGGCUACAUACUUUGCUUUGAAUUGGUCUCUUCUAAAGAGGCCUUCCGAAUUUAUUCUCGUCAUGAUCUACCAUAAAAUUUUCAGAAUUUACAAAAACAUUCCAGGAGAGGGCUCGUAAUGAUCUUUGAUGUGAGAUAUGCUGUGGGGGUCCUGUAUAAGAUUGAGGAGCUGAGGGUUGUUGGGCACAAGGGGAUCUUGAAUCAAAGAAUUCUUGUUCGGCAAGCGAAGUAGAAAAAGUAGCAUUGAUUCCAAACAAAGAGUAAUAAGCGUGCUCGUAUUUGUUUUUAUUGGCUUUAACUGCAAGGGCACGUAAGAGAAAGGCCACCCUUUUCAAGUCCUUAAUUGCGAAGAAAUCAAUAAUUAAAAAGCCAAUAAGAUUGAUCACUUCUUUUA